AUUGAACGCUGGCGGCAUGCCUUACACAUGCAAGUCGAACGGCAGCGGACCUUCGGGUGCCGGCGAGUGGCGAACGGGUGAGUAAUAUAUCGGAACGUACCUUUCAGUGGGGAUAACGUAGCGAAAGUUACGCUAAUACCGCAUAUUCUGUGAGCAGGAAAGCAGGGGAUCGCAAGACCUUGCGCUGAUUGAGCGGCCGAUAUCAGAUUAGCUAGUUGGUGAGGUAAAGGCUCACCAAGGCGACGAUCUGUAGCGGGUCUGAGAGGAUGAUCCGCCACACUGGAACUGAGACACGGUCCAGACUCCUACGGGAGGCAGCAGUGGGGAAUUUUGGACAAUGGGCGCAAGCCUGAUCCAGCCAUGCCGCGUGAGUGAAGAAGGCCUUCGGGUUGUAAAGCUCUUUCGGCCGGGAAGAAAUCGCACAGGUCAAUACCCUGUGUGGAUGACGGUACCGGAAUAAGAAGCACCGGCUAACUACGUG
RNAcentral lists this ribosomal RNA (481 nucleotides) under uncultured bacterium. RNAcentral describes it as "bacterial SSU rRNA". It matches the Rfam family "Bacterial small subunit ribosomal RNA", at positions 30 to 507 of the family's 1533-position model. The record is from RNAcentral.